Molecule: RNA transcript, 3753 nt
Organism: Columba livia (rock pigeon)
Lineage: Eukaryota; Metazoa; Chordata; Aves; Columbiformes; Columbidae
Gene: FARS2
Gene name: phenylalanyl-tRNA synthetase 2, mitochondrial
Exons: 13
Source: RefSeq, a predicted model, not a curated record
GGCGGGUCCUCCCACAGCGAGGCCCCUUUCCCCGCCCGCAGCGCCCGGGGCCGCGCCGGCCGCCGGAGCCGCCUCCGCGGCGGGCAGGCAGGGGCGGAGGCAGCCGCGGCGGCGGUAGCGGGAGCGCACGGCUUGGCGGGAAAAAAGCGUUAAGGAAAACUGGUUUGCAAUGGAUGUGUAAAGCAGCAAGGAGUAAGCGGAUUUCAGUCUCUGAAGAGAAGAAACAAAGUACUGACGGAAGCUAACGGACCAAGGAAACAGAGCUGAGGAAAGAUAUCUCUGCUUGUGUAUCAUCCAAGAGUUUGCAAUGGCAAUGCUCUGGAAAUUCAUGAGAGUAGCUAAGUAUUCUAAAACAGCUUUAUCACCAAAAGUAAAGGUAAGAGGAAUUCCCACCCAUUCAAGGCAUUCUUCAUCCAAGUCUGUACCUUCAGAUUUUGCUGUCAACACGCCGUGCUCAAAUACUGUGGAACUGCUUGGUAAAGCUUAUCCUCAGGAUGACUACAGCAAUGUCACAGAGAAAGUUCUUUCCAAGGUAGGGAAGAACUUGCACAACAAAAAGCAUCACCCUUUGUGGCUAAUCAAGGAGCAAGUGAAGGACCACUUUUACAAACAAUAUACAGGACGCCGUGGGACUCCACUCUUUUCUGUCUAUGACGGUCUUUCUCCAGUAGUUACAGUACAGCAGAAUUUUGAUAGCUUGCUUAUUCCUCAGAACCACGCCAGCAGAAGAAAAGAGGAUAACUAUUACUUGAAUCGUGAUCACAUGCUAAGAGCACAUACAUCGGCUCAUCAGUGGGACUUGAUACACUCCGGCCUAGACGCCUUUCUGGCAGUGGGAGAUGUCUACCGCCGUGAUACCAUUGAUAACACCCACUACCCAGUCUUCCAUCAGAUGGAAGGAGUUCGGCUCUUCUCCUGUCAUGAGUUGUUCUCCAACAUUAAAGAUGGUGAAGGCUUACAGCUGUUUGAGCAAGGCCAUCGCACUGCACACAAGCAAGAGUGCCACACCAUGGAGGCAGUGAGGCUGGUGGAGUUCAACCUGAAGCAAGUGCUCACAAAGCUCAUGACUCACAUCUUUGGUGAUGGACUGCAAGUCAGAUGGGUAGACUGCUACUUCCCAUUUACUCACCCUUCCUUUGAGAUGGAGAUCAACUUCCAAGGAGAAUGGCUGGAGGUCCUGGGCUGCGGGGUCAUGGAGCAACAGCUAGUUAACUCAGCUGGUGCUCAGGAUAAAAUUGGCUGGGCAUUUGGCUUGGGUUUGGAGAGGCUGGCCAUGAUCCUGUACGAUAUCCCUGACAUCCGACUGUUCUGGAGUGAAGAUGAACGCUUCUUGAAGCAGUUCAUUGUGCCUCACAUUUGGCAAAAAAUAAAAUUCCAGCCACUCAGCAGAUAUCCACCUUUGAUCAAUGACAUCUCCUUUUGGCUGCCUUCUGAGACAUACUCUAAGAAUGAUUUCUAUGAUUUGGCUCGAACCGUUGGUGGAGACCUGAUAGAAAAGGUUGUCCUACUGGAUGAAUUUACCCAUCCGAAAGUAACAAAAAUUAAGGUCUCUGUACUUAGCCCACGAUGAGAGUUUUGCAGCAGGAGAACAAUGAACAAGAAAAAUGAAGACUGCAGAAGUGGAAGGAGGAAACGAAAGUUGCUUUCAACCGACAGGGCUACAUGAAUUCAGCAGUGGGUGAAUUAGGCUGAGUGUUAUCAGUGAUGACGAAACACAGCAGACUGUGUACAGCUAAGGGUUUUUCCUGCACACAACUCUACCUGGUGCAGUGCAUGUGAAGAAAGCAAGGUAUAGGCCACGGUGAGGAAGGAGGACGUCAGCUGAAACACGUGUCAGGUGGACCAAGUGUGCUACAGGUCCAUUAAAUGACUCACCUGAGGUGAUACAGGAAAUAAGUAAUAGAGGGAAAAACACAAACCAUAUCUCCCAUUUCCAGCUUCAGGACCUUCUUCCAUGGCAUGCAACUCCUGGUACUCAGGUCCUCUAGGAGUAAAGGCCUCGCAAAGCUUUUAUCCGCAUUAAGAACAAAAACUAUUGCCAUGCAAGGCUAAAAGGAAGGUGCAUCUAUUCUGGCGUCCCAUUCCUGACAGUGGUCAACAGAGGAUAAUGUGGAAAUAGUGGACAAAGAAAACAUACAGGGAUGCAACCCCAGGAUCUAACAAAUUGCAGGUUCUGUUGUGUUCCCACCAGUCAUCAGAAAAUAACUUCCCUUUUGCUAUGGAUUCACAACCAGGAGAACAGGAUACUCCAGACCCAAAAGUGUGCCCAGAAAUGAUGUGUCGAUAGCAUUUCUCAUGUAUCUUCUCAGUAAAAUGAGCUCUGGCAAAUUCGGAGGAAGACAACCCUCGUUAAAACAUUGCUCUGGCACUUUGCAGAGGUGGUUCUAAAUGCAUCACACUCUGCCUUAUGCAAUGUUUGUGUGUUUUCCAGGGAUAGGAGGGAAAGCAGUUUGUAUCAAGACCCUUCAAUCAACAAUAAAAAACCUAUUAUACAGCUGGAGUACUUGGCCAGUGUUCUUGAUGCAGAUGACAAGUUAUGAACAGCUGUGUUGCAAUAUCAGAAAUAUAAUCAGACUGUCUGGUGAAGAUGGUUGAGGGGCAGUCGUUUGCAGAAAGUAGGGCAGCCUUGCAUUUGCACAGGAGACUGCUCGCUGCUUUGCAUACGUCGUGAUGCCAAGGAAAAGUCUCCGCUUCACAGGGACGCUGAACCUGGGAGUAGCAUCGCUAGACCCUCUAAAAGGACACCAGACUUAUGAGGCUGUGACUUUGAUUUAGUGAAUUCCUAAUUGUGCAGAAGAGCAGAUUUGUUUUUACACAGAAGCUUUUAAGCUGUGAUGCUGUUUUCAAUUGCUUGUCUGCUGCACAGAAAAAAAAAUAGGGAAGACCAGCAAGUGGGUGUAACAGCUGGGUACCUGGACUUUGGAAGUAUUGGAAAAAAGCUGCCUGCUGCUUCAUUUUCAUCCUAUUGCUGCACAGACUGAAUCUGAAGUUAGGGUUUAAACAGUGAAAUCCCUAGCUUGUGUCAAGUCUGACAGUCUGCUGCAUGCUGUCUUGCUCUGAUACAUCUGAGCUCCCCUCUCCUCACUACCAGUUUCAGAGGCAGAAGAACAGUCCUUGGGAUGCCGCUUCUUUUAAUUUAGGGUGCAGCCUGAUAGUAGGAACACUACUUGCCCUCUGUGUUUGUCAGGGUGCAAAGUUAGUAUGUGGUGGAGUUGAGGCCCCCUGCUCGGAAGCUCCACCUGUGACUGCAGCACAGACUGGCAGGAGCUGAAGAAUAGUUGGAAGCUAUUUCUGUUAUAUCUCCUCAGAAUGAGAUAUAUUUUUAACAGCCUUUCAGCAGUCAGAGCUCACAUCCAGCUCUGUAGCAAGGAUGUAGGAUGGACAGCAAUUUUCCCUGCUAGCAUCUUUCAGUCUCAUUCUGGAGAAGUCUUGUUUUUGGUCCCCAUGUUCAAUUCCCGUUGUGCCUGUUGGGAGUUCACUUUAGGGCAGCCACCUGGGGAGGUAGAUUUUGUGAACAAAUGCUAGAUGUGUAUUUCUCAGAGAAGAGUCAUCUGGGGUUGAGCAUUUGUGGUUGCUCCCCUGAUCUGGGAUGCAGACAUGUCACCUAGAUGUAAAAAGCUCAUACAUUACCCAUCCUGUAAACUUCUGGUCCUUAAGUCUUAGACAAAUUUCUAUUUUUUCCAUUUAUUUUGGUCAAGAUACUGUGUAAAUGAAGCUACACGUUGUUGGUCAUACAAAUAAAAAGAAAGGAUU